This is a long non-coding RNA of Culex quinquefasciatus (southern house mosquito), 812 nucleotides long. RefSeq lists it as uncharacterized. The transcript has 2 exons. NCBI's taxonomy places the organism in Eukaryota, Metazoa, Arthropoda, Insecta, Diptera, Culicidae. The record is from RefSeq and is a predicted model, not a curated record.
GUUAAGGCACCUGACUUUACGAAAUCAGUUUUGAAACUUGUAGAAAAAUUCGAAAUUUCCAUAAAUCAAACAGUUUCGGAUGAAUUUAAGUUUUUGAAUUUUUCUAGAAUUCAUCUUCUGCACGAGUUGAAACGACACAUUCAGAAAGAGUAUGACUCGUUUUCUACGAUGAUGAGAAACAAAUUUAUCAGCCUUGGGAUAUGUAAAAUACAGAACCGUCCUUGUUGGAACAUUGCGAAAGCGGAUCUUCCGGAAUUUGAGGUUGAUUUAAACUAUGAUGCUAAUGCUUGCGAUGAUAAUUUUGGAGUGCAUAUUCAAUCAUACCGGUAUGAGCAUGUUAAGCUGAACACAAUUAAGAGACUUUUUGAUGCUAUAAAAGCCUUAAAGAAGAAAUGUUUCAAUCAUUCUAAACCGAAUGCUUAUACACGAAGUUGUAUGAAUAAGAUGUUGGUCAGUUCACUGCUUGGAGCCAAAGCAUACUUCAGAAGUCUAGCAAAUUCAAUACAACAGGAAAUUACGAUGCGCCAAUAUGUGACGAAACUAACUGGCAAGUGCUUUGAAAAUGCUUAUCGAUCAAGGAAGCCUUCUUUUGAUCAUGGGAUGCAGAAACUUAAAAAGUGCAUAAACGAUAUGAAGCUUGGGGAAAAGGCACCAGAUAUUGAUGAAAGCCAUUGGAAUUUCUAAUAUUCAUUAGCUGAGUGAUAGCCUUUUUAGUUGGGGAUGGAUGGGGUUGUAUUUAUUUUAUGCUUGUUUUGAGUUUUCAACUGUUUUGUUGUAAUAAAGAGUUAAAAUAGUUCAAACGUGAGCAGGCA